GGAACUGCCUGAUGGAGGGGGAUAACUACUGGAAACGGUAGCUAAUACCGCAUAACGUCGCAAGACCAAAGAGGGGACCUUCGGGCCUCUUGCCAUCGGAUGUGCCCAGAUGGGAUUAGCUAGUAGGUGGGGUAACGGCUCACCUAGGCGACGAUCCCUAGCUGGUCUGAGAGGAUGACCAGCCACACUGGAACUGAGACACGGUCCAG
RNAcentral lists this ribosomal RNA (209 nucleotides) under uncultured bacterium. RNAcentral's name for it is "partial 16S ribosomal RNA". It matches the Rfam family "Bacterial small subunit ribosomal RNA", at positions 121 to 334 of the family's 1533-position model. The record is from RNAcentral.